RNAcentral lists this ribosomal RNA (1088 nucleotides) under uncultured Micrococcus sp. RNAcentral's name for it is "bacterial SSU rRNA". It matches the Rfam family "Bacterial small subunit ribosomal RNA", at positions 380 to 1500 of the family's 1533-position model. The record is from RNAcentral. Lineage: Bacteria; Bacillati; Actinomycetota; Actinomycetes; Micrococcales; Micrococcaceae.
AGAAUGCCAGCGACCCCGCUGAGGGAUUGACGCUCGGUUGUAACUCUCAGUAAGAGAGCGAAGUGACGUACUGCAGAGAGCCCCGGCUAACUACGUGCAGCAGCCGCGGUAAUACGUAGGGUGCGAGCGUAUCGGAAUAUGGGCGUAAAGAGCCCGUAGGCGGUUGUCGCGUCUUUCGUGAAAGUCCGGGGCUUAACCCCGGAUCUGCGGUGGGUACGGGCAGACUAGAGUGCAGUAGGGGAGACUGGAAUUCCUGGUGUAGCGGUGGAAUGCGCAGAUAUCAGGAGGAACACCGAUGGCGAAGGCAGGUCUCUGGGCUGUAACUGACGCUGAGGAGCGAAAGCAUGGGGAGCGAACAGGAUUAGAUACCCUGGUAGUCCAUGCCGUAAACGUUGGGCACUAGGUGUGGGGACCAUUCCACGGUUUCCGCGCCGCAGCUAACGCAUUAAGUGCCCCGCCUGGGGAGUACGGCCGCAAGGCUAAAACUCAAAGGAAUUGACGGGGGCCCGCACAAGCGGCGGAGCAUGCGGAUUAAUUCGAUGCAACGCGAAGAACCUUACCAAGGCUUGACAUGUUCUCGAUCGCCGUAGAGAUACGGUUUCCCCUUUGGGGCGGGUUCACAGGUGGUGCAUGGUUGUCGUCAGCUCGUGUCGUGAGAUGUUGGGUUAAGUCCCGCAACGAGCGCAACCCUCGUUCCAUGUUGCCAGCACGUAAUGGUGGGGACUCAUGGGAGACUGCCGGGGUCAACUCGGAGGAAGGUGAGGACGACGUCAAAUCAUCAUGCCCCUUAUGUCUUGGGCUUCACGCAUGCUACAAUGGCCGGUACAAUGGGUUGCGAUACUGUGAGGUGGAGCUAAUCCCAAAAAGCCGGUCUCAGUUCGGAUUGGGGUCUGCAACUCGACCCCAUGAAGUCGGAGUCGCUAGUAAUCGCAGAUCAGCAACGCUGCGGUGAAUACGUUCCCGGGCCUUGUACACACCGCCCGUCAAGUCACGAAAGUCGGUAACACCCGAAGCCGGUGGCCUAACCCUUGUGGGGGGAGCCGUCGAAGGUGGGACCAGCGAUUGGGACUAAGUCGUAACAAGGUAGC